RNAcentral lists this transfer-messenger RNA (351 nucleotides) under Oscillospiraceae bacterium. It matches the Rfam family "transfer-messenger RNA". Rfam says of the family: Bacterial tmRNA, also known as 10Sa RNA or SsrA, is named for its dual tRNA and mRNA-like properties. Lineage: Bacteria; Bacillati; Bacillota; Clostridia; Eubacteriales; Oscillospiraceae. RNAcentral also lists the same sequence under 1 other name. The record is from RNAcentral.
GGGGGCGUCUCGGUUUCGACGGGGGCGCUGAAGCAUGUUAAGCGGGCAGAAGCGCACAGCUUCUUUAAAAUGUGCAAACCUUUAUAAAUUAAACAACAACAAUAAGCUUGCUGUUGCUGCUUAAUUAAAAGCAGCCGUCUUUACCGGAAGGGCCACGAGCCGGAUAAAGGCGUGGAUUAGUGGCGGACGUGAGUGCGCAAAGCUUUGAGCGCGCCAUGCAUCAUGAAGCUACCGGACCCGCGAGUCAGGCGGAUGACUCACGGGCGAGGGAAUCCCGAGAUCCGCCUGCGCCCGGAGAAAAACAUGUGGACGUACUUUCGGACAGGGGUUCAACUCCCCUCGCCUCCACCA